RNAcentral lists this ribosomal RNA (291 nucleotides) under uncultured bacterium. RNAcentral describes it as "partial 16S ribosomal RNA". It matches the Rfam family "Bacterial small subunit ribosomal RNA", at positions 773 to 1060 of the family's 1533-position model. The record is from RNAcentral.
GUGGAUUAGAUACCCUGGUAGUCCACGCUGUAAACGAUGAAUACUAGGUGUGGGAGGACUGACCCCUUCCGUGCCGCAGUUAACACAAUAAGUAUUCCACCUGGGGAGUACGGCCGCAAGGCUGAAACUCAAAGGAAUUGACGGGGGCCCGCACAAGCAGUGGAUUAUGUGGUUUAAUUCGACGCAACGCGAAGAACCUUACCAGGACUUGACAUCCAACUAACGAAGUAGAGAUACAUUAGGUGCCCUUCGGGGAAAGUUGAGACAGGUGGUGCUUGGUCGUCGACAGCU